Molecule: ribosomal RNA, 202 nt
Filed under: uncultured bacterium
Lineage: Bacteria
Description: partial 16S ribosomal RNA
Rfam family: Bacterial small subunit ribosomal RNA
Source: RNAcentral
ACGCUCGACACCUACGGGAGGCAGCAGUUAGGAAUAUUGGGCAAUGGAGGAAACGUCUGACCCAGCAACGCCGCGUGAAGGAAGAAGGUUUUCGGAUUGUAAACUUCUGAUCUAGGGGAAGAAGGAAGUGACGGUACCCUAGGAGAAAGCCACGGCUAACUACGUGCUAGCAGCCGCGGUAAUCUGAGCGGGCUGGCAAGGC